Molecule: unclassified non-coding RNA, 151 nt
Filed under: uncultured Phialocephala
Lineage: Eukaryota; Fungi; Ascomycota; Leotiomycetes; Helotiales
Description: sequence contains ITS2
Source: RNAcentral
CAACCCCUCAGGCCCUGCCUGGCGUUGGAGGACUGCGCUUCGCAGCCUCCCAAAGCAAGCGGCGGCGGCGCCCCAAAUCCGAACGCAGUAGUUACCUCUCGUUCUGGGUGUUGGGACGGUGCCCGGCGGAAAACCCCCAUCUAUAUCGUGG